CAGUAGCCGCGGGAAUACGUAGGUGGCGAGCGUUGUCCGGAAUCAUUGGGCGUAAAGGGAGCGCAGGCGGGCAUGUAAGUCUUUCUUAAAAGUUCGGGGCUCAACCCCGUGAUGGGAAAGAAACUACAUGUCUUGAGUACAGGAGAGGAAAGCGGAAUUCCCAGUGUAGCGGUGAAAUGCGUAGAUAUUGGGAGGAACACCAGUGGCGAAGGCGGCUUUCUGGACUGCAACUGACGCUGAGGCUCGAAAGCCAGGGGAGCGAACGGGAUUAGAUACCCGAGUAGUCCCUGUCUCUUAUACA
Molecule: ribosomal RNA, 301 nt
Filed under: uncultured bacterium
Lineage: Bacteria
Description: partial 16S ribosomal RNA
Rfam family: Bacterial small subunit ribosomal RNA
Source: RNAcentral